GACAGAGGUGCCGAGCGUUAGGCGGAAUCACUGGGCUUAAAGCGUGUGUAGGCGGAUGGGUACGUACCUUGUGAAAUCCCACGGCUCAACCGUGGAACUGCUCGGUAUACUGCUCGUCUUGAGCCAACUAGGGGCGACCGGAACAAACGGUGGAGCGGUGAAAUGCGUAGAUAUCGUUUGGAACGCCGAUGGUGAAAACAGGUCGCUGGGGUUGUGCUGACGCUGAGACACGAAAGCCAGGGGAGCGAACGGG
Molecule: ribosomal RNA, 253 nt
Filed under: uncultured bacterium
Lineage: Bacteria
Description: partial 16S ribosomal RNA
Rfam family: Bacterial small subunit ribosomal RNA
Source: RNAcentral